This 550-nucleotide ribosomal RNA is filed under the name uncultured archaeon. RNAcentral's name for it is "bacterial SSU rRNA". It matches the Rfam family "Archaeal small subunit ribosomal RNA", at positions 326 to 880 of the family's 1478-position model. The record is from RNAcentral.
CGGGGCGCAGCAGGCGCGAAACCUUUACAAUGCGGGCAACCGUGAUAAGGGAACCUCGAGUGCCUGUAAACGCAGGCUGUUCAGGUGUUUAAAACGCACCUGGGGAAAGGGCCGGGCAAGACCGGUGCCAGCCGCCGCGGUAAUACCGGCGGCUCGAGUGGUGGCCGCUUUUAUUGGGCUUAAAGCGUUCGUAGCUGGGUUGUUAAGUCUCUUGGGAAAUCUGGCGGCUUAACCGUCAGGCGCCUAAGGGAUACUGGCAAUCUUGGAACCGGGAGAGGUGAGGGGUACUUCGGGGGUAGGGGUGAAAUCCUGUAAUCCUCGAGGGACCACCUGUGGCGAAGGCGCCUCACCAGAACGGCUUCGACAGUGAGGGACGAAAGCUGGGGGAGCAAACCGGAUUAGAUACCCGGGUAGUCCCAGCCGUAAACGAUGCGCGUUAGGUGUAUCGGUGACCACGAGUUACCGAGGUGCCGAAGGGAAACCGUGAAACGCGCCGCCUGGGAAGUACGGUCGCAAGGCUGAAACUUAAAGGAAUUGGCGGGGGAGCACA